Molecule: ribosomal RNA, 490 nt
Filed under: uncultured bacterium
Lineage: Bacteria
Description: partial 16S ribosomal RNA
Rfam family: Bacterial small subunit ribosomal RNA
Source: RNAcentral
GAUGAACGCUAGCUACAGGCUUAACACAUGCAAGUCGAGGGGAAACGAUGAGAGAGCUUGCUCUCUUAGGCGUCGACCGGCGCACGGGUGAGUAACGCGUAUCCAACCUACCCAUUACAGGGGGAUAACCUUGCGAAAGUAAGACUAAUACCCCAUGGCAUUUUAUGGUGGCAUCAUUAUAGGAUUAAAGAUUUAUUGGUAAUGGAUGGGGAUGCGUCUGAUUAGCUUGUUGGCGGGGUAACGGCCCACCAAGGCAACGAUCAGUAGGGGUUCUGAGAGGAAGGUCCCCCACAUUGGAACUGAGACACGGUCCAAACUCCUACGGGAGGCAGCAGUGAGGAAUAUUGGUCAAUGGGCGAGAGCUUGAACCAGCCAAGUAGCGUGCAGGAUGACGGCCCUAUGGGUUGUAAACUGCUUUUAUAGGGGAAUAAAGUGAGCUACGUGUAGUUUAUUGCAUGUACCCUAUGAAUAAGGACCGGCUAAGUCCGUG